This 496-nucleotide ribosomal RNA is filed under the name uncultured bacterium. RNAcentral's name for it is "partial 16S ribosomal RNA". It matches the Rfam family "Bacterial small subunit ribosomal RNA", at positions 29 to 507 of the family's 1533-position model. The record is from RNAcentral.
AUGAACGCUGGCGGCGUGCCUAAUACAUGCAAGUCGAGCGAACAGACGAGGAGCUUGCUCCUCUGACGUUAGCGGCGGACGGGUGAGUAACACGUGGAUAACCUACCUAUAAGACUGGGAUAACUUCGGGAAACCGGAGCUAAUACCGGAUAAUAUAUUGAACCGCAUGGUUCAAUAGUGAAAGACGGUUUUGCUGUCACUUAUAGAUGGAUCCGCGCCGCAUUAGCUAGUUGGUAAGGUAACGGCUUACCAAGGCGACGAUGCGUAGCCGACCUGAGAGGGUGAUCGGCCACACUGGAACUGAGACACGGUCCAGACUCCUACGGGAGGCAGCAGUAGGGAAUCUUCCGCAAUGGGCGAAAGCCUGACGGAGCAACGCCGCGUGAGUGAUGAAGGUCUUCGGAUCGUAUAACUCUGUUAUUAGGGAAGAACAAAUGUGUAAGUAACUAUGCACGUCUUGACGGUACCUAAUCAGAAAGCCACGGCUAACUACGUG